GAGUCUGUAGCUCAGCUGGAUAGAGCAACGGCCUUCUAAGCCGUAGGUCGCGGGUUCGAAUCCCUCCAGGCUCG
Molecule: transfer RNA, 74 nt
Filed under: Stomatobaculum sp.
Lineage: Bacteria; Bacillati; Bacillota; Clostridia; Lachnospirales; Lachnospiraceae
Also listed under: 1 other name
Description: tRNA-Arg
Rfam family: tRNA
About the family: Transfer RNA (tRNA) molecules are approximately 80 nucleotides in length. Their secondary structure includes four short double-helical elements and three loops (D, anti-codon, and T loops). Further hydrogen bonds mediate the characteristic L-shaped molecular structure. tRNAs have two regions of fundamental functional importance: the anti-codon, which is responsible for specific mRNA codon recognition, and the 3' end, to which the tRNAs corresponding amino acid is attached (by aminoacyl-tRNA synthetases). tRNAs cope with the degeneracy of the genetic code in two manners: having more than one tRNA (with a specific anti-codon) for a particular amino acid; and 'wobble' base-pairing, i.e. permitting non-standard base-pairing at the 3rd anti-codon position.
Source: RNAcentral